GCCAGCGGUCGCUGACCGCGGCCGGCCGCAUCAUCUCGCUGAGGAGAUCGGCCCGCGCCGGGGCGGCGGGUUCGAUGCCCGGCGCCGGCC
RNAcentral lists this transfer RNA (90 nucleotides) under Aliidongia dinghuensis. RNAcentral's name for it is "tRNA-Ser". Lineage: Bacteria; Pseudomonadati; Pseudomonadota; Alphaproteobacteria; Rhodospirillales; Dongiaceae. The record is from RNAcentral.